UACGGAGGGUGCAAGCGUUAUCCGGAUUCACUGGGUUUAAAGGGAGCGCAGGCGGAUUGGUAAGUCAGUGGUGAAAGGCUUAAGCUUAACUUGGGAACUGCCAUUGAUACUAUCAGUCUUGAAUGUUGUUGAGGUUUGCGGAAUGGGUCAUGUAGCGGUGAAAUGCAUAGAUAUGACAUAGAACACCUAUUGCGAAGGCAGCUAACUACGCGAAUAUUGACGCUGAGGCACGAAAGCGUGGGGAUCAAACAGG
Molecule: ribosomal RNA, 253 nt
Filed under: uncultured bacterium
Lineage: Bacteria
Description: partial 16S ribosomal RNA
Rfam family: Bacterial small subunit ribosomal RNA
Source: RNAcentral